Molecule: ribosomal RNA, 299 nt
Filed under: uncultured bacterium
Lineage: Bacteria
Description: partial 16S ribosomal RNA
Rfam family: Bacterial small subunit ribosomal RNA
Source: RNAcentral
GGAUUAGAUACCCUGGUAAUCCUAGCCGUAAACGAUGGGCACUAAGUAGGGGGCCUCCCAAGGGUUCCCUGCCGUAGCUAAUGUGUUAAGUGCCCCGCCUGGGGAGUAUGGUCGCAAGGCUAAAACUCAAAGGAAUUGACGGGGGCUCACACAAGCGGUGGAGCAUGUUGUUUAAUUCGAGACAACGCGAAGAACCUUACCUGGGUUUGACAUGCACGGAUUAACUCUGUGAAAGCAGAGCCACGCCCGCAAGGGUGGAACGUGCACAGGUGCUGCAUGGCUGUCGUCAGCUCGUGUUG